This 1683-nucleotide ribosomal RNA is filed under the name Triticum aestivum (bread wheat). RNAcentral's name for it is "partial small subunit ribosomal RNA". Lineage: Eukaryota; Viridiplantae; Streptophyta; Magnoliopsida; Poales; Poaceae. The record is from RNAcentral.
AUGGCGGCUGCGGCGGUGGCCUCCAACGGGGGCGCGGCGCCCGUGCCCGGGCGCCUCGCGUCCGUCUACAGCGAGGUGCAGACGAGCCGCAUCGCGCACGCGCUGCCCCUCCCCUCCGUCCUCCGCUCCCACUUCACCCUCGCCGACGGGCCCGCCAGCACCGCCGCGGGGAGCCCCGAUGAGAUCGCCAAGCUGUUCCCCUGCCUGUACGGCCAGCCGUCGGCCGCCGUGGUGCAGUCCGCCGAGCCGGUCGAGACGAAGCCGCUCAAGAUCGGCGUCGUGCUCUCCGGUGGCCAGGCGCCAGGCGGGCACAAUGUGAUCUGCGGCAUCUUUGAUUACCUGCAGGAGCGUGCCAAAGGCAGCACCAUGUAUGGAUUCAAGGGAGGCCCAGCUGGUGUCAUGAAGGGCAAGUACGUUGAGCUGACUACUGAUUUCGUGUACCCCUACAGAAACCAGGGCGGAUUUGAUAUGAUCUGCAGUGGAAGGGACAAGAUUGAAACACCAGAGCAGUUCCAGCAAGCUGAAGACACAGUCAACAGACUUGAUUUGGAUGGACUUGUUGUCAUCGGUGGUGAUGAUUCAAACACUAACGCAUGCCUCCUUGGUGAAUACUUCAGGGGAAGGAACUUGAAGACUCGCGUUAUUGGUUGCCCAAAGACUAUUGAUGGAGAUCUGAAAUGCAAGGAGGUCCCAACAAGCUUUGGAUUUGACACUGCUUGCAAGAUAUACUCCGAAAUGAUUGGCAAUGUCAUGACUGAUGCACGGUCAACAGGCAAAUACUACCACUUUGUGAGGCUUAUGGGUCGUGCUGCUUCUCACAUUACACUAGAGUGUGCUCUACAGACACACCCUAAUGUUGCACUCAUCGGUGAAGAGGUUGCUGAGAAGAAGGAAACACUCAAGAAUGUCACAGACUACAUUACCGAUGUUGUUUGCAAACGUGCAGAACUUGGUUACAACUAUGGAGUUGUCCUAAUACCCGAAGGCUUGAUUGAUUUCAUCCCAGAGAUUCAAAAACUCAUUGCAGAAUUAAAUGAAAUUUUGGCACAUGAUGUUGUUGACGAGGCAGGGGCUUGGAAAAGCAAGCUUGAACCAGCAUCUAGGGAGUUGUUUGACUUCUUGCCCAAAACCAUUCAGGAGCAGCUUUUGCUUGAAAGAGAUCCCCAUGGCAAUGUUCAGGUUGCAAAAAUUGAAACUGAGAAAAUGCUUAUUGCCAUGGUUGAAACUGAAUUGGAGAAGAGAAGAGCGGCGGGGAAGUACUCUGCACAUUUCAGAGGCCAGUCUCACUUCUUCGGAUAUGAAGGAAGAUGCGGCCUCCCUACCAAUUUUGAUUCCAGCUAUUGCUAUGCAUUAGGCUAUGGUGCUGGUGCUCUUCUCCAAUUUGGAAAGACAGGACUUAUUUCGUCGGUUGGUAACCUGGCUGCUCCUGUGGAAGAAUGGACUGUUGGAGGAACUGCACUGACUGCGUUGAUGGAUGUUGAGAGAAGGCAUGGCAAGAACAAGCCAGUGAUCAAGAAGGCUAUGGUGGAACUUGAUGCUGCGCCAUUUAAGAAGUUUGCCUCGCUGCGAGAUGAAUGGGCCAGCAAGAACCGAUACAUCAGCCCUGGUCCCAUCCAGUUCAGCGGCCCUGGAAGCGAUGCGUCGAACCACACCUUGAUGUUGGAGCUUGGCGCUGAGAUAUAG